Non-coding RNA from Musca domestica (house fly), 69 nucleotides. The record is from Rfam. Lineage: Eukaryota; Metazoa; Arthropoda; Insecta; Diptera; Muscidae.
UACAAGCCUGUUUUAGGUUUUGUAACAAGCCGAUGGGGCGUGAUAUUGCUUGUCAUAGUUACUCUGAUU